UCUCAUUUCUCUCUCUCUCUCCUCCAAGUUCUCUUUCAUCUUGUUCAAGAAAAAACCCUAAAAUCACAAAAUGGUGUCAUAGUAGAAUGGAAAUUGGAUGCGAGAUCUAGAACAAAUAUGGGUUUGCAAAGAGAGAGUGAGCAAAUGUUAGAAAGAGGGAGAAAAUCGGUGGCAUUUGGCUCUGGUUUUGAAUUUUGAAACAGGAUUUUGGCUCCACAAAACCUAGACACGGCUUUUCAUUACACCGCCCAUUCUCUCUCUACAGCAACAACCGUUUUUCAUCCCCAGUCGUUCUUCACCAGCCAUCCACCGCUGACAGGUAUGAAAAUAUUCCUUUAUAUUGAACUCUUGAGUCCCCAAUUAGUCAUUCUUGUUCUGUUCUGGUUUAGAUCUACAAUUUUCACUUUGACGGUAUCAUUACUCUUGUUCAGUGUUGGUUCAGAUCUAGGGUUUUCUCAUUCGAAAUGGUUCUUAGAUCUAGAUGCUUACGGGCGAUUCACCGUACGGUUCUGAAUCCCUAACCUUGGUUUGCUCAUCUUUGUUAUUGUUUAUGGAUAUGGUGGUGGUUCUUGCGUCUCAACAAAUGAUGUUCUUCCCCUAUGGUCAUCAAGGACUUUCUUCCAUUGGUUGGUGAGGAUUUGAGUUCCAGUACUUUUGCCCUGAUUCCCAAUACACCCAUAUUGUCUUCUUUUUCAUUUUGCAGAGAGAGAGAGAGAGAGAGAGAGAGAGAGAGAGAGAGAGAGUGAGUGAGUGAGUGAAAUAGAGAUUCUCUCAAUUUGUACGACGACCAUGGAAACAUCAACCGCCGACGCGACCAAUAGCCACUAUCUUCCUUUGAUUUUCUUGUGUUUGCUGUCAUUUGAUUGAUGGUCAUCUUCGGUUAGUGUUCAUCUGGAACCAGUGGAACUACAUCUGGGGUUGGUCGAUUUCUCAAGAAUGAAGGUGAAGAUGGACUAUGAAGUCUAUGAAAGGAGGGUCAAGAAGGUUGUGUGUUCUUUAGCAGAUUUUGAAUCUUGCACACAGCAAAUCAGACAUUCAUGCCUUCAUUGACAAAUUUGCAGACAACGGGUUAAGGUCACUUGCUAUAGCAUACUACCAGAUAAGAAGUUCUAGAGAGACCCCUGGAGGACUAUGGCAGUUUGUUGGGCUAAUGUCUCUGUCAUCCGCCACGUCAUGAUAGUGCUGACACGAUUCAAAGGGGGUUUGAAUCUUGGGUAAAAGUUAAAAUGAUUAUAUGCCACUGGAUGUCGAUUUAGCAAAGAGGUGUCUGUUUUGAGAAGUGAAAGAUCUGGUUGAUGAUUGUGGUAGGGAGACCCAUGAGUUCUGGUAUAAUCAUACGCCUUUUGCAGGAGUACAGUAUUGAAAAAGCAGCACCACCUAAGGCUGGUGGUGAGUAAUGAUUCAUGGACCUGUUUGUGUAUGCCAUUGAAGUUGCUACACAUUAAUUGUAGGAAAACUUUUGGACUAGAGGAGAUGUCGAUGAUGGUGACCAACUGGUACUGUUCAUCGUGGCUAUGCUUUAAGCGAUCAUCAAAAUUUGAAAAAAACCAUGUGAUUUAUGUUUCAACUGGUACAGUUCAUUGUGGCUAUGCUUUAACUAUUAUAUGAUGUUCAAUGACCGCAAUAGAAUUUGAUAUUUCAUUUGUGAAGCCAUUGGAUGUCGAAUUAUUGAAGAUCCACAGAGGCAGCAACGAGAGGAAGGAAGGUGCAUACCCCUUCUAACAAUAGCCUGCAUAGUCGCGAUCCGACCUCUUGGCAAACAAAAAGACGGGCCUUUGGCGGGACCCAGGGGUUCCAUCUAGGGGUACUCACAUGUAAUCAGCUUGAAUUAUGAUAUUUCAGUGAAAGUCUCAGUUCGAAAGCUAAAGAAGAAUGGUGGUACACUGGUAGUAUUAUUGGUGGAGCAAUCAAAGCAAUUCAAACGAAAAAAAUUGUACCAGUUCACAACUCUCUUAUAGAUUAAAAACCGCACGAAAGGAAAGAUUUGGAAUGGGAGGAGUGGUGUUCCUUUAAGAUUUGAAGUGUUUAAGUUGUAUGAUAGUUGAUGUAAGAAUGGGGUGUAAUAUUUGCAAGGGGGUUCUGUUCUAGCAGCUUGCUGGAAUAAGUGAUGUAUAUAAAUUUUUGUGAUAAAUGUUAUUUUUAGCCGUUC
Helianthus annuus (common sunflower) is the source of this 2149-nucleotide long non-coding RNA. RefSeq lists it as uncharacterized. The record is from RefSeq and is a predicted model, not a curated record. The transcript has 8 exons. NCBI's taxonomy places the organism in Eukaryota, Viridiplantae, Streptophyta, Magnoliopsida, Asterales, Asteraceae.